UGUGGAAAAUCAAGUAAGAGCAUAUCCAUGUUUACUUAUUAGUUUGUUUUCUGAGAAUGGUACGGGAUUUACAAACUGAAAAAACAUUAAUAGUUUGAAAAUUAUUUUAAACCAAAAUCAUUUGAAAUUUUUGUUAUAAUAUGUUGUUUGACUGAUUGCAAUGUUGUUUUAGUGGUAAUUUUUUUCAACUUCUAAGCAUAUAUUUAUUUUUUGUACACCCGGUGCAACGCACGAGCCAUUUUGCUAGUAUAUCCCUAAUUAUUUUAAUAAUAAAGCAUGGAUUGAUUCCGUGGGUUCACCGUCACAAUACGCUUUCUUCUCAUGUCAUAAUACGCUUUUAUAAUUUGUAUGGACAAAAUAGUAAUAUAAAUGAGGCGGUACUAAUCUACCGUCUGACGCCCGUCUCAAAGUCCAAACAUAACUCCUCCUUCCCCCGCCGUAUUUUAUGCCAACGCAUCCUACCCUCCUCUUGAAACAGGCCCGCACGAAUCCUUCCUCCCUCGCAUGUCCAUCACCGCCGCCGCCAGCACCGGCCACCACGCCCCAAGCACGGGACAGAUCUAGGAAUCAGGAGGGGAUGGACGGAGUAUGGCGAACAGGCCGACGGGGAUGUGCUCUCUCCUCCCGCUACCAAGGCCCGUGGGCGGGGCGCCCGACCUCUAGACGACGGUGGCGAUAACCAAGGACGGAUGUGCAUCCUGGCAUCUCAACUCAAGAUGAUCAAGUGAGGUCUGCAUAGGGUGGUGGCUGGCGGGUUGGACGCGCUGAACUUCGGCGGCGGCCGGAUCCAGGCGAGCGGCGACGAGACCUUGCAAGGCGUCGGGGUUCUCCGGGGCGGCACCAUGGUUGCUCCAGCGUGCUCCUGUAAGAAAAGGAGGGAGGACGAGGGAGAGGGAGAGAGAAAACCGGGAGGAAGGAGAGAAACGAGGGGAGGCACGACAGGGAGCUGUGCUGCUAGUUUCUCCGGUGAAGAGCAGAUAGGGCACGGACGUUCGCGGGAGUGGGCGGCGUUUGGCGACGGAGGCGCUGGUCGGGGAGCGCGUGGUGCGAGCUCCUAGGGGGAGAUGGACAAGGACGAGGACGGUCUGGUGCGCUGCUGGUGCGGGGAGGGCAUGGGAGAGGGACGAUUGCUCUGUAUGUUGUGCGCUGCUGCAGCUGCUAAUCUCAUGUGGAGGACGCGCAGGGGCAGGCGGCGAGCGAAUUGAAUCUGGGAAUUCACCCAGGGAAGCAACAUAUAAUCUUCUGAUCUUUGUCUUGCCUCCAGUGCAAGUUCAGUUUGUCCAGCAGUGCUCUUGACAAAUUUCUAGAAUGAAGAAUGAAAUACUUGGAGAUAGGCUACCAAUUCGGUGUUGAACUGAGGUUUACACACAUUGGUGCACAUGAUGUGUCAAUCAAACAUACUAUAGCCCUCAUAUAAUGGUUGUUGCUGUUUGCAAAGUAAGAAUUGAAUGAUGCAAAGAGAUUUAUGCUGUAGAAGAACUUCCAAGGUAGUCUCCGAAGCCCUUUCAUUGGAAUUUGACAAAAUUCCCAACCACAUAGGUCACACACAAUUUAAGCCUCCAUGGUACUAAAAAUGCCAUGUCUGUCGGUCCUUUGUUUAGAAAUGUUUUAGUCACAUAUUCUUAUGUAAUUACCGUAUGACAAAAAUAGCACUUCAGGCCCUUAUUAACCGUGUUUCUCCUUUGUUUUGGUCUUCUCUUAAUUUGUUUGUUUGCUUAAGGAUGCCCCUAAUUUUCUAUAAGAUUACAAUGGCUUAAAUAGCAUGUAGAUUUAAUAAACCGAAUAAUUGAUUGUUGGUGUUGUUUCUAGCGUAUCACAUAUAGUAGCAGAGACUCAGCAUGGGGGACUGCCGCUUGAAGAGAUGCAAAUGUUGCAACUUCACCAGAGGUUCUAUGUUGGAGUUCUGUGUGUCAGUGGUUCAAGUUCACAAGGAUUGGCACCAUGGACUGGAGAAUCGUCGCAACCAUCAUGGACACACCAGGGGCAGGGGCUGCAUGCAGCCAAGUCCGAGGCGACUGCCAAGAAGACUGGGCUCGAUGUAGUGACCGAGGAGGCGCAUGCCGCAGGAGAAGCCGAUUAUUCUGUUUGCACGACGGGUAUCCAAAAUUCUAAUUCAGACAUUAGUGAUGAUAUAACAAUGUCGUCCGCCAAAUUGUGAUUCGGGCGAGCCUAGCUUAGCUGGGAGCCACCGAAGAUUGUGUGGUGCACGGGAGAUAGAGACUCCACCGGAUAUUUUGUCGUGUCCACUAACAACAACGACAUGGAUAGUGAGCUCACUGCUGGACAUGAUUGCCCUAUUUAUAAUCUGUUGGGUAGUCCUAUUUGGUGGAUUGUAUCUAUAGCAUGUUGAAAGCAAAUGUAACCUCAUUGAUUUUCACAUUACUCUUCAGUAUAUCUGAUCUUUCUCUACAAGGAGCCUACAGUUUGUAAUGUUGUAUUUCUUUUGUGAGACCUCCACGAGCUGUCUAUGAACCAUAUAUGCAGUAGACGUUCCCAUAUGUAUUUAUUCGAUUUCGA
Triticum dicoccoides is the source of this 2517-nucleotide RNA transcript. RefSeq lists it as uncharacterized. The record is from RefSeq and is a predicted model, not a curated record. The transcript has 5 exons. Lineage: Eukaryota; Viridiplantae; Streptophyta; Magnoliopsida; Poales; Poaceae.